ACCAUCCCCAGACUAAACGGACCCAACUAGCAGACAGACAAUUCAUUCCAACAAAGCACGACCAAUUGACCAUACAGUCUAUGCCCAGAUGACACAACAAAUACAUCACUCAUGGUGUGGCCCUAUUUAGAUUCAUCUGAAGUGACUUGCACUACAAGAAACCUUGCAAUCUAUGACGGAUUCUUCGUGACAGAUUCAGACAACGUCACCAAUCGAGAUGUGCAGUGUUGGAUAACCAGCCCAGGGCCCGAUACACUCUCGCAUAUAAAACCUGCACCAAAACCCUAACCCACCCGGCUGCCUAUCUUCUUUCAAUCCACCGCCGCCCCCUUUCCGGUCAGUGCCCUCCACCCCACCAAGUCAUCAACGAAUCCCAUCCUUGGAGGAGUCUGGCGCAUCAAGCAUGGAGGCCGAGGGUGGCCCUUCACCUUCACCAAAACUCUUUGGAUCCGGCCAUGUAUGAGGCCGAUGGUGGUGCCCCCACCCAACCAUUGGUAGAUCUAGCGCUUGGAGCAGAGCAGGCCAUCUGAGGUUAGUGGAGGAUGGACUAACACUUAUCACGGGAGAGUUGUGGGCUGAGCUUUGAGUUUUCCUUCAACUCAGGCGAGAUUGUCACUGACGAGGUUGUAGAUAGGGUUGCGCAUCGCUCUGGACAGCCACUCUAAGUGGCAACGAGAUGGACUCUGGUGUGGCAAAGUGAAAUGGCUAAGCGGUGAAAUUUAGAGGGGAUAGCUAAGUACAAUUGCAACUGACAUAGUUGUGGUUGAUAUGUCCUACUGUAUUGGAACUUAUAAGGAGAACUAGAAGUGACAGUCGUCCGUGUUCUUGCCUUCCCUGGUUUUCAGAUAGCAGCACCAACACCAAGACAAGAUAGCAGCAAGAGGACUUCGACAAGGUAUGUAGUUUUCAGAAAGGGAAUCGGUGGAUAAACAAUAUUGGAGAAAUACUUGAAGAAGGAGCAUCAUUCCAUUGAGGUGGCUGUAUUGCUUAUUUACUUGGUGGCAUGGAGAGACGAUUGUUGGUUGUAUGAAUUAGUCUUGUUUUUAAAUUGCUUCAUCAUCAAUGUGUAAAUAUUUAUAUAUA
Long non-coding RNA from Sorghum bicolor (sorghum), 1083 nucleotides. RefSeq lists it as uncharacterized. The transcript is spliced from 5 exons. The record is from RefSeq and is a predicted model, not a curated record. NCBI's taxonomy places the organism in Eukaryota, Viridiplantae, Streptophyta, Magnoliopsida, Poales, Poaceae.